CCCAGCGUCGCCAUGGUGCCUGGCGUCCCAGCUCCCAGCCGCCUGCCAUGGUGCCCGGGCAGGCGGCCGCCCCUGGCCCUCGACGCUGCUGUCACGCUCUCUCCGCCUUGCCCCUGCUCCCGGCCUGUGCCUGCUGCCAUGCUGCCCAUGUCUUGCCCUGCCUGUGGAGCAGGGCUGGCUCCUGCUUUGGUUGCAUGAGACCUGCCCCCAGCAUCACCAUCAUAGCCACCAACACUCAUCUGGGCCCUGCUCGAUGCCCAGCUGCUGGGUUUCUCACUUGGGGAAGGUGCUAUGUCCAUCCUGGGUGCCUUGUCCAGCCCUGCUCCCCCUGGACGGACCCUCACCCCUGCCCUGGGCCGUGCUUCCAUACGGGAGGGUCUGGAGGUGGCUGUCCCUACUUCCCCACUCCCUCCUCUGCCCAGCACAGUGCCCAUGCCUGCCUUGUGGCUGCUGGCUGUCACCGACGGGGUGGUGCGGUCCCCCUUGGUAGCAGCAGGGCGGAUGCUGGCCCCCUUGGCUGGGACAGUAAUAGUGGCCUCCAUGUCAUCCCAGUGGUGGGGAGUCAUGGUAGCCACAUGGUCUGGCUUCCCCUUGGACUUCUGCCCCUCUCCUCUCACCUCAUCAUCAUCUUUCCCAUGAAUUCUGGCCACUGUGGGGCUGGUAAUAUCACCACUUGUGACUGUCCAGGCGACAGGGGUUACCAGUCCUCUAUCAACACCAAUGGUGGUGGCACCUUCCUCAUCCUCUCCAGUGAGAUGGCCAUCCCUGAGGCUGCUGGUAACGCUGUCCCCACGGGUUGGGGUGGCUCUGAUGGCCAUUCUUUCAGGCUGCCUGUGGGCAGGGAUGCUGUCAUCUUCAUCACCACUGGGUGCCACAGUGACGUCCAGCUUGCGGAGGGGCCUGCUGCUUCCCACAGAGGGGAUGCUGUCAUUCUCCCUACCCACUGUGACACCAGCCUGGGUAGUUUCCUGCUCCCCCACAUGGAUGUUGGCCCUCCCAAUGAAGAUGUUAACCUCGUCAUCCUUGCCUGGAGAGAACUGGGUGAAGCCGUUGGCCCUGUCUGUGCUGCCCAGGCUCCCAUGGGUGACGGUGACACUGCCUGAAUUGG
RNAcentral lists this long non-coding RNA (1108 nucleotides) under Chloebia gouldiae (Gouldian finch). RNAcentral's name for it is "Erythrura gouldiae (Gouldian finch) lncRNA (ENSEGOG00005004610.1)". Lineage: Eukaryota; Metazoa; Chordata; Aves; Passeriformes; Passeridae. The record is from RNAcentral.